Molecule: ribosomal RNA, 356 nt
Filed under: Dondersiidae sp. 3-SB FSB-2019
Lineage: Eukaryota; Metazoa; Mollusca; Solenogastres; Pholidoskepia; Dondersiidae
Description: partial large subunit ribosomal RNA
Source: RNAcentral
GGAGUAAAUCUAAACGGCCGCGGAAUUUUAACCGUGCUAAGGUAGCAUAAUCAUUUGUUCUUUAAUUAAGGACUUGUAUGAAUGGUUAAACGAAAUAAAACUAUCUAUAAAAUAUUAUAUAAAAAUUAUUUUUAAAGUGAAAAAACUUUAAUAAAAUAAAAAGACAAAAAGACCCUAUAGAGUUUUAUUCAUUAUAAUAAAUAAAUAUAAAUGAAUUUAGUUGGGGCAACUAAUGAAAAAAGAAAUUUCUUUUAAUUAAUUUUAAAUAUAAUCAUUACCUUAAUAAUUUAAAAUAAAUUACCUUAGGGAUAACAGCGUAACUUUUUUUGAGAGUUCAAAUCGAAAAAAAAAAUUAC